RNAcentral lists this ribosomal RNA (339 nucleotides) under Pogonomyrmex maricopa. Its description in RNAcentral is "mitochondrial SSU rRNA". The record is from RNAcentral. Lineage: Eukaryota; Metazoa; Arthropoda; Insecta; Hymenoptera; Formicidae.
UUAUUCAAAAUAAGGAUUAAAAGACUGGUGAUUAAAUGUAAUCAUUAAAAUUAGUAAAUUUGGCGGUAUUAUAGUUAAUUAGAGGAACUUGUUGUGUAAAUUGAUAAUCCACGAUAGGAUGACCUGUUUAUAAUUUAUGUAUUGUUGUUUUAAAAUUAUAUUAUUAGAUUAAUAAUUAAAAAAUUUUAUGUUCUUUAAAUUCAAAUCAAAAUGUAGUUUGGACAGGGCUUGAUGAGUUACAGUAUAGAAUAAUACGAAUAUUAAUUUUUAAUAAUUAAUUGAGGAAGAAUUUAAUUGUAAAUUAAUAUAAUUUUAUUAGUUGAUAAAAGAUUUAUAAUG